GUGGUCCAGCAGCCGCGCCUACGGGAGGCAGCAGUAGGGAAUAUUGGUCAAUGGAUGGAAGUCUGAACCAGCCAUGCCGCGUGCAGGAAGAAGGCCUUCUGGGUUGUAAACUGCUCUUGCCAGGGGCUAAAAAGCUCAUGCGUGAGAAGUUGAAAGUACCUGGUGAAUAAGCCACGG
RNAcentral lists this ribosomal RNA (177 nucleotides) under uncultured bacterium. RNAcentral describes it as "partial 16S ribosomal RNA". It matches the Rfam family "Bacterial small subunit ribosomal RNA", at positions 321 to 496 of the family's 1533-position model. The record is from RNAcentral.